Molecule: ribosomal RNA, 1062 nt
Filed under: Triticum aestivum (bread wheat)
Lineage: Eukaryota; Viridiplantae; Streptophyta; Magnoliopsida; Poales; Poaceae
Description: partial small subunit ribosomal RNA
Source: RNAcentral
AUGAUGAGGGAGGUGAAGGGGCUCCACGACGCGCCUCCAACAAGGAAACGACGUCCUAGGACGCCGUCGACGCCGGCAUCGACCAAGGCCGAGCAAGGCUUUCACCCGGAGGUCACCAAACCCAUCAUCACCACAGCCAAUCACCACCGACGGCGACCAAGCACUCUACACCGCUCUCCACCGCCAACCGCCUCUUACACGGCCAGGAAAACCACCACGGCCCCACACGCCGUCAUGGCAGCCCCGCACCCACCGCCAAAGAGCGGCGCCGCCGCGCCGCCAUCCUCCCUCCUUGCUACCGCAGCCAAACCACAAUGCCGCUUGCAGCCCACUGAACUCGAGGCUGACCACCACGCAUCAGAUCUGGGGCAGCCUCGCCCGGAUCCGUGCCCCGGACGCUGCCGGGACCCGUCGAAGGAGCACGAGCAAGCUGGGAACACCACGAGCCGCUCCCCCGACGGCCACCACACCCGAACCGCAGGAGCCCCGCCCGGAUCCGUGCCUCGGACAGCCGCACCGCCACACGCCACCAGCGCCACCGCACCACAGCCGCCCCCGUCGUGGCGCCGCCGCGCCACCAUCCAAGAGCUGCGGCACGCCGCCACCACCGCAGCUCCCCCGGCCGAGGGAGGGGACGCCAGGCAUCCCGCGCGCACCGCCGGCCGCCGAACACCGAAGAGUCGCCGCCGCAGCCCGCUGGAGAGCCUCCACCGCGAGAUCCAGAUGCAUCGCACCAGAUCGACGAUGGCCAGCCUCAGCGCCGCCCCCACUCUCCCGACGAGGGAGAGGAGGAAACAGCGCCACCACCGAGCCCGGGGCCGCCGCCCCGGCUUGCCUGCGCCUGGCCAGAUGCAGCCGCCGCCGGAUGCAGGCCUUCGUCUAGGGCCGAAGACGCGCGGCGCGCGACGAGGGUGCCCCGCCACCGCCGUCCGCCGAGCGGGCUUUGCUCGUCGGCCUCCUCCGGCGGCGGCGGGCGGAGCGAGGGAGGAGAGGGGAACGGAGGCGGCGGCGGCGGCUAGGUUAUCGCCCGAGCCGCCCCCCAGGGAACAACGCGAGCGCGGA